Molecule: ribosomal RNA, 1341 nt
Filed under: metagenome
Description: bacterial LSU rRNA
Rfam family: Bacterial large subunit ribosomal RNA
Source: RNAcentral
GAGCGGCUACGGCCGCGAAGUGGAUGAUGUCAAGCUUCCAAGAAAAGCCCUAUACCCGUUUAGGCAUGAUGGCCUGUACCCGAAACCGACACAGGUGGGGUGGUAGAGAAUACCGAGGGGCGCGAGGUAACUCUCUCUAAGGAACUCGGCAAAAUGGCCCCGUAACUUCGGGAGAAGGGGUGCCACCGCGAGGUGUCGCAGUGAAGAGGCCCAGGCGACUGUUUACCAAAAACACAGGUCUCCGCUAAGUCGCAAGACGAUGUAUGGGGGCUGACGCCUGCCCAGUGCCGGAAGGUUAAGGAAGCUGGUCAGCGCAAGCGAAGCUGGCGACUGAAGCCCCGGUGAACGGCGGCCGUAACGAUAACGGUCCUAAGGUAGCGAAAUUCCUUGUCGGGUAAGUUCCGACCCGCACGAAAGGCGUAACGAUCUGGGCGCUGUCUCGGAGAGAGGCUCGGCGAAAUAGAAUUGUCUGUGAAGAUGCGGACUACGUGCACCCGGACAGAAAGACCCUAUGAAGCUUUACUGUAGCUUGGUAUUGUGCUCGGGCUCGGAAUGCGCAGGAUAGGUGGGAGGCUUUGAUCCAUUGCUUGCGGGUGAUGGUGAGCCACUGGUGAGAUACCACUCUUUCCGAGCUAGAGUUCUAACAGCAACCCGUUAUCCGGGUGCUGGACAGUAUCAGGUGGGCAGUUUGACUGGGGCGGUCGCCUCCUAAAAGGUAACGGAGGCGCGCAAAGGUCUGCUCAGGCUGGUUGGAAAUCAGCCGACGAGUGUAAAAGCAGAAGCAGGCUUGACUGUGAGACCUACAAGUCGAACAGGGAGGAAACUCGGCUUUAGUGAUCCGACGGUUCUGCGUGGAAGGGCCGUCGCUCAACGGAUAAAAGUUACUCUAAGGAUAACAGGCUGAUCUCCCCCAAGAGUUCACAUCGACGGGGAGGUUUGGCACCUCGAUGUCGGCUCAUCGCAACCUGGGGCUGAAGUCGGUCCCAAGGGUUGGGCUGUUCGCCCAUUAAAGCGGUACGCGAGCUGGGUUCAGAACGUCGUGAGACAGUUCGGUCCAUAUCCGGUGCACGCGCAGGAAUAUUGAGAGGAUUUCUCCCUAGUACGAGAGGACCGGGAGGAACGCACCUCUGGUGUGCCAGUUAUCGUGCCAACGGUAAACGCUGGGUAGCCAUGUGCGGAGUGGAUAACCGCUGAAAGCAUCUAAGUGGGAAGCCCACCUCAAGAUGAGUAUUCCCAUGGCAUAAGCCAGUAAGGUCACGGGAAGAACACCCGUUGAUAGGCUCUACGUGGAAGCGCAGUAAUGUGUGAAGCGGAGGAGUACUAAUAGACCGAGGGCUUGAC